This is a non-coding RNA of Kogia breviceps (pygmy sperm whale), 922 nucleotides long. NCBI's taxonomy places the organism in Eukaryota, Metazoa, Chordata, Mammalia, Artiodactyla, Physeteridae. The record is from RefSeq and is a predicted model, not a curated record.
CUCGUCCAUUCGUCCACUGAGGGACCCGAGGCUCUGGGCGGCAGGGGACGGUCCCCAGAGCUGGGAGGAGUGGCAGGGUACCGAGGGUGCCUGCCCUGUGCCUGGGAGAGCCUUGCGGCCGCGGAUCAAAAGGACAGCUCUCCAGAUGGGGGAUGGCAUCUGGUGCCUUCUGAGAAGGAAAGGAGACGCGGGAGCCUUGGGCAUGAGCGAGGGCAAAGAGGGGCCCGAGACCCGGGAGCUGCUGUCUCCACGGAGGCUCUGCGCGGCGCAACCUUAAAGCAAAAUGGAGAAGUUAAGCAAGGGAAGGAACAGCUCGCCUGGAUCAAGCCUGCACAGCCUUAGGAACGAUUGAUAGGGCAUGUGUGGUCAUUAUGAAAAUAGUCUGUGGUUUCCCAUUGUGAACUCGGAAUCCCUUCCUAUCCAGAGAAUCCAGGCGGAGAGGCCUACACAGGGCCCACGCUCCUGGGAUCUUCUUGGGCUUGGAGCUUCCCCUACAGCUGCUCUGCAGACAGCACCGCGGCGACCACGGGGGGCCCGAGGUGGCUCUGGACUCAGCUGCCCGGUGGCCUUGCCCUUCGUGUCCCUCUUUGGAAGACUUUGGAUCUUGCCCCCUGCGUCAUCAUCUUUGGAAAUCAUGAAUUUCCUGCCCACAAAGGGAAGCAGAUCCAAUCCCCUCUGCCUGCACCGUUGCGUCAGGAUUCGCUUUGGGUGUUGACACUGAUGUCCCCUCGACAGCCGCCGGCGGCUUCCCCAGGGGCCCGGCCUUGGGCGAAGGAAGGAGCACAGCAUAGCAUUUUGUCUGGGGAGAUGGUCCUGCAUUUUGCUGAGCAGAAAUACCCGUGAGGCUAGACCGGAGAGCUAAAGGGGCUCCGGUUUUUAGAAACCCUGUGUGAUCUUCCUGCCCACGUGAGGGUGGGCGUGU